CUGGUCCUGAUCCUGUUAUUGUAGUUCCCUCUGUACUUCUAUUGCUGUUGGUUUUUGGACUUCUGGCUGCCUUUAAAAUAUGGAGGAAGAGAUGUUCACAGCCUGAGCAGAUCAUCUACAUACCUACCUCAGCUGAUGACCAAACAACAGAACAGCGGAUAUGACAUGUAAAGUGGCACCAAAUGAUCUGUUCACAUUUACAGACUGGAAGCAUUUUGUAAACUGACUGAACUGAAAACACUUUAAUCAGUAUUUUUUUUAAAAAUCUUUUUGUUUAAAUAGGCUAGAAAUUACUGCAUGUAUCUAACAGGUUUCCUCUAAUGCCAAGUUUGUCUGAACACAGCUGUUUAUGUUAGCAUGCCUGUUUGCCAGAUUGCAUUGCCAGCAAAUCAGCCACCAGAACUCCUCAGUAUUAUUUAAAACUGUUCGAACUUUCAAUAGUGUGCUAAUAAACAAACAUUUGUUAUA
Molecule: long non-coding RNA, 468 nt
Organism: Sinocyclocheilus grahami
Lineage: Eukaryota; Metazoa; Chordata; Actinopteri; Cypriniformes; Cyprinidae
Exons: 3
Source: RefSeq, a predicted model, not a curated record